RNAcentral lists this ribosomal RNA (422 nucleotides) under uncultured soil bacterium. Its description in RNAcentral is "bacterial SSU rRNA". It matches the Rfam family "Bacterial small subunit ribosomal RNA", at positions 26 to 446 of the family's 1533-position model. The record is from RNAcentral.
AGAUUGAACGCUGGCGGCAUGCCUUACACAUGCAAGUCGAACGCGAAAGGGGGGGCAACCCCCGAGUAGAGUGGCGAACGGGUGAGUAAUACAUCGGAACGUAUCCAGUAGCGGGGGGAUAACCUCUCGAAAGAGAGGCUAAUACCGCAUACGACCUACGGGUGAAAGAGGGGGAUCGCAAGACCUCUCACUAUUGGAGCGGCCGAUGUCGGAUUAGCUAGUUGGCGGGUAACGGCCCACCAAGGCUACGAUCCGUAGCUGGUCUGAGAGGACGACCAGCCACACUGGAACUGAGACACGGUCCAGACUCCUACGGGAGGCAGCAGUGGGGAAUUUGGACAAUGGGCGCAAGGCCUGAUCCAGCCAUGCCGCGUGACGUGAAGAGGUCCGUUCGGGUUAGUAAGUCGUCUUUCGGCUGGACG